AGCAGCCGCGGUAAUUCCAGCUCCAAUAGCGUAUAUUAAAGUUGUUGCAGUUAAAAGCUCGUAGUUGAAUUUCGGGGUUAGUAGGUUGGUCAUGCCUCUGGUAUGUACUGGUCUCACUGAUUCCUCCUUCCUGAUGAACCGUAAUGCCAUUAAUUUGGUGUUGCGGGGAAUUUGGACUGUUACUUUGAAAAAUUAGAGUGUUUAAAGCAAGCUAACGCUUGAAUACAUUAGCAUGGAAUAAUGAAAUAGGACGUUCGAUCCUAUUUUGUUGGUUUCUAGGAUUGACGUAAUGAUUAAUAGGGAUAGUUGGGGGCAUUAGUAUUCAAUUGUCAGAGGUGAAAUUCUUGGAUUUAUUGAAGACUAACUACUGCGAAAGCAUUUGCCAAGGAUGUUUUCAUUAAUCAAGAACGAAAGUUAGGGGAUCGAAGACGAUCAGAUACCGUCGUAGUCUUAACCAUAAACUAUGCCGACUAGGGAUCGGAUGAUGUUAAUUUUUAAUGACUCAUUCGGCGCCUUACGG
RNAcentral lists this ribosomal RNA (520 nucleotides) under uncultured Glomus. RNAcentral's name for it is "SSU rRNA". It matches the Rfam family "Eukaryotic small subunit ribosomal RNA", at positions 569 to 1093 of the family's 1831-position model. The record is from RNAcentral. Lineage: Eukaryota; Fungi; Glomeromycota; Glomeromycetes; Glomerales; Glomeraceae.